GAUGAACGCUGGCGGCGUGCCUAAUACAUGCAAGUCGAGCGAACGGACGAGAAGCUUGCUUCUCUGAUGUUAGCGGCGGACGGGUGAGUAACACGUGGAUAACCUACCUAUAAGACUGGGAUAACUUCGGGAAACCGUAGCUAAUACCGGAUAAUAUUUUGAACCGCAUGGUUCAAAAGUGAAAGACGGUCUUGCAGUCACUUAUAGAUGGAUCCGCGCUGCAUUAGCUAGUUGGUAAGGUAACGGCUUACCAAGGCAACGAUGCAUAGCCGACCUGAGAGGGUGAUCGGCCACACUGGAACUGAGACACGGUCCAGACUCCUACGGGAGGCAGCAGUAGGGAAUCUUCCGCAAUGGGCGAAAGCCUGACGGAGCAACGCCGCGUGAGUGAUGAAGGUCUUCGGAUCGUAAAACUCUGUUAUUAGGGAAGAACAUAUGUGUAAGUAACUGUGCACAUCUUGACGGUACCUAAUCAGAAAGCCACGGCUAACUACGUG
RNAcentral lists this ribosomal RNA (497 nucleotides) under uncultured bacterium. RNAcentral's name for it is "partial 16S ribosomal RNA". It matches the Rfam family "Bacterial small subunit ribosomal RNA", at positions 28 to 507 of the family's 1533-position model. The record is from RNAcentral.